UACGUAGGGUGCAAGCGUUGUCCGGAAUUAUUGGGCGUAAAGAGCUCGUAGGCGGUCUGUCGCGUCUGCUGUGAAAUCCCGAGGCUCAACCUCGGGCUUGCAGUGGGUACGGGCAGGCUAGAGUGCGGUAGGGGAGAAUGGAACUCCUGGUGUAGCGGUGGAAUGCGCAGAUAUCAGGAGGAACACCGGUGGCGAAGGCGGGACUCUGGGCCGAUACUGACGCUGAGGAGCGAAAGCGUGGGGAGCAAACAGG
RNAcentral lists this ribosomal RNA (253 nucleotides) under uncultured bacterium. RNAcentral's name for it is "partial 16S ribosomal RNA". It matches the Rfam family "Bacterial small subunit ribosomal RNA", at positions 524 to 776 of the family's 1533-position model. The record is from RNAcentral.